UUUAUUGGAGAGUUUGAUCCUGGCUCAGGAUGAACGCUGGCGGCGUGCCUAAUACAUGCAAGUCGAGCGAAUGGAUUAAGAGCUUGCUCUUAUGAAGUUAGCGGCGGACGGGUGAGUAACACGUGGGUAACCUGCCCAUAAGACUGGGAUAACUCCGGGAAACCGGGGCUAAUACCGGAUAA
This 182-nucleotide ribosomal RNA is filed under the name Bacillus cereus. RNAcentral's name for it is "partial 16S ribosomal RNA". It matches the Rfam family "Bacterial small subunit ribosomal RNA", at positions 1 to 176 of the family's 1533-position model. Lineage: Bacteria; Bacillati; Bacillota; Bacilli; Caryophanales; Bacillaceae. The record is from RNAcentral. RNAcentral also lists the same sequence under 2 other names.